GACAGAGGGUGCAAACGUUGCUCGGAAUCACUGGGCGUAAAGGGCGUGUAGGCGGGAAGGAAAGUCAGGUGUGAAAUCCCUGGGCUCAACCCAGGAACUGCAUUUGAAACUCCCUUUCUUGAGUGUCGGAGAGGAAAGCGGAAUUCCUGGUGUAGAGGUGAAAUUCGUAGAUAUCAGGAGGAACACCGGUGGCGAAGGCGGCUUCUGGACGACAACUGACGCUGAGACGCGAAAGCGUGGGGAGCAAACAGG
RNAcentral lists this ribosomal RNA (252 nucleotides) under uncultured bacterium. RNAcentral's name for it is "partial 16S ribosomal RNA". It matches the Rfam family "Bacterial small subunit ribosomal RNA", at positions 524 to 776 of the family's 1533-position model. The record is from RNAcentral.